RNAcentral lists this long non-coding RNA (287 nucleotides) under Trifolium pratense (red clover). RNAcentral's name for it is "long non-coding RNA (TPRA_LNC001426)". Lineage: Eukaryota; Viridiplantae; Streptophyta; Magnoliopsida; Fabales; Fabaceae. The record is from RNAcentral.
AUUUGGACUUUAUGGCGCUCUCGGAAUGAUAGGAUUUUUUUGGGGAGAAUUGUAGAGUUACAAGAGAUGGUGGAUAGAAUUAAGCUUGUUUCUUGGAAAUGGCUUUUGGCAAAAAAGAUUGGUACACCUUGCUUGUUUUAUGAAUUAUGAGUGGUGUACGAAUCCUUUUGACUGUAUAGCUAGAUAGUUUUGGGUAUGGUUUUUUCGGAUUGGGUGGAGUACUAUUUGUACUUUUUCUUUAGAAAUGGAUUGAGUAUCACUUGUACUUUUUUCCAAUUCGUUUUUUA